UCCACGCCCUAAACGAUGUUCACUAGUCGUCGGAAUGCUAGUCAUUUCGGUGAUGCACUUAACAGAUUAAGUGAACCGCCUGGGGAGUACAGAGAGUUGCGAUACCGCGAGGUGGAGCUAAUCUCAUAAAGCGUCUCUCAGUUCGGAUUGUUCUCUGCAACUCGAGAGCAUGAAGCUGGAAUCACUAGUAAUCGUAGAUCAGCAAUGCUACGGUGAAUACGUUCCCGGGUCUUGUACUCACCGCCCGUCACACCAUGGGAGUUGAUUUCACCCGAAAUUGGGAAGCUAACCUUCGGGGGCUACCACUUACGGUGGAAUUAGCGACUGGGGUGAAGUCGUAAC
This 342-nucleotide ribosomal RNA is filed under the name uncultured bacterium. RNAcentral describes it as "bacterial SSU rRNA". It matches the Rfam family "Bacterial small subunit ribosomal RNA", at positions 944 to 1492 of the family's 1533-position model. The record is from RNAcentral.